Molecule: ribosomal RNA, 466 nt
Filed under: uncultured bacterium
Lineage: Bacteria
Description: partial 16S ribosomal RNA
Rfam family: Bacterial small subunit ribosomal RNA
Source: RNAcentral
GACGAACGCUGGCGGCGCGCCUAACACAUGCAAGUCGAACGAGCGAGCGAGAGCUUGCUUUCUCGAGCGAGUGGCGAACGGGUGAGUAACGCGUGAGGAACCUGCCUCAAAGAGGGGGACAACAGUUGGAAACGACUGCUAAUACCGCAUAAGCCCACGACCCGGCAUCGGGUAGAGGGAAAAGGAGCAAUCCGCUUUGAGAUGGCCUCGCGUCCGAUUAGCUAGUUGGUGAGGUAACGGCCCACCAAGGCGACGAUCGGUAGCCGGACUGAGAGGUUGAACGGCCACAUUGGGACUGAGACACGGCCCAGACUCCGACGGGAGGCAGCAGUGGGGAAUAUUGCACAAUGGGGGAAACCCUGAUGCAGCGACGCGGCGUGGAGGAAGAAGGUCUUCGGAUUGUAAACUCCUGUUGUGGAGGAAGAUAAUGACGGUACUCAACAAGGAAGUGACGGCUAACUACGUG